Molecule: non-coding RNA, 711 nt
Organism: Dermatophagoides farinae (American house dust mite)
Lineage: Eukaryota; Metazoa; Arthropoda; Arachnida; Sarcoptiformes; Pyroglyphidae
Source: RefSeq, a predicted model, not a curated record
UGUUUUUUUUGGUGUCACACAAGCGUUUAGUUUUCGUUUGUUUGUUAAUUUUUUUUUCUAUUUGCGAUUAGAGUGUGUGUGGAUUUCAUUCUGAGUGAAGCUUUAUUUAUCAUCAAUAACUUUUUUUUUCUAAUCGUGAAUUUAACAUACCACACAUAAUACCAUCGAGAUGGUGUCAUCAUCAUCAUCAUCAUCAUCAUCAACCCCACCAAACAACAAAUGUGCUCACAAAAACAUUUCUACGACGUCGAUGAUGAUAAAUUUUUUUGGUGAAUGACGAUUCGAACGUAUUCAAACAAAGAAGAUUGAAAACAAAACAACAAAACAUUCGAACGUUCAUUUUUGAGCCAUCCAUUUUUAUCCAUCCAUCCAGAGCCAACCAGCCAGCUAGCCAAAAAAAACAACAACAACAACAAAACAUUUAAAUCAAUCAGACACUUAUUCUCACAUUUGUUUUCGGUUGUUAAAUUGUGUGAUAUAAUUGCGUGUGUGUCUAUUAUGGUUGAAAUGUUUAAAUGAUGAUGAUGAUCAUCAUCAUCAUCAUCAUGAUCAUCGACGGUGUAUAGCACACAUAGACACACACACACAUACACGUAUAUAUAAAAUGAAAUAAGAAGCUCAAAGUAUUCCUAUUUUUUUUCUACAUCUUCAUUCUCUAUCAUUGGAUUUGUCUGUACCACCGUAAUCAGCACAAAUUCAAUCAUACAUCAU